RNAcentral lists this small RNA (663 nucleotides) under Pan troglodytes (chimpanzee). RNAcentral's name for it is "retained intron". Lineage: Eukaryota; Metazoa; Chordata; Mammalia; Primates; Hominidae. The record is from RNAcentral.
GGCCAUGCGAUCCGCCGCGCGGAGGGGACGCGCCGCGCCCGCCGCCAGGGACUCUUUGCCGGUGCUACUGUUUUUAUGCUCGCUUCUGAAGACGUGUGAACCUAAAACUGCAAAUGCCUUUAAACCAAAUAUCCUACUGAUCAUGGCGGAUGAUCUAGGCAUUGGGGAUCUCGGUUGCUAUGGGAACAAUACACUGAGAACGCCGAAUAUUGACCAGCUUGCAGAGGAAGGUGUGAGGCUCACUCAGCACCUGGCGGCCGCCCCGCUCUGCACCCCAAGCCGAGCUGCAUUCCUCACAGGGAGACAUUCCUUCAGAUCAGGCAUGGACGCCAGCAAUGGAUACCGGGCCCUUCAGUGGAACGCAGGCUCAGGUGGACUCCCUGAGAACGAAACCACUUUUGCAAGAAUCUUGCAGCAGCAUGGCUAUGCAACUGGCCUCAUAGGUGUGGAUAUGUGGGAGCCUCACAUUAUACGGUGGUUGGGAAUAUUCGUGAUAAAAAAGAUCCCAGGCCAGGCGUGGUGGCGCACGCCUGUAAUCCCAGCUACUUAGGAGGCUGAGGCAGGAGAAUCGCUUGAACCCGGGAAGUGGAGGUUGCAGGGAGCCGAGAUCACACCACUGCACUCCAGUCUAGGUGACAAAGCGAGACUCUGUCUCAAAGAAUA